This is a non-coding RNA of Oreochromis niloticus (Nile tilapia), 404 nucleotides long. The record is from the annotation of a RefSeq genome assembly. NCBI's taxonomy places the organism in Eukaryota, Metazoa, Chordata, Actinopteri, Cichliformes, Cichlidae.
AAAACAUGACUUUGAUCUGCGUCCUCAUCUGGACUCUCCUCUGCUGCUGCUUCACAGAGUCCAGAGGACAGAUCACAGUGACUCAGCCUGGAGCAGUGAGCUCUGCUGUGGGAGGAUCUGUGAGCAUCAAGUGUAGGACCAGUCAGGAUGUUCGUGUUUGGAACAACUACCAUCUUUUAGCCUGGUACCAACAGAGAGAUGGAGGAGUUCCUAAACUGCUCAUUUACUAUGCUAGCACUCGAGAUUCAGGGAUUCCAGCUCGUUUUACAGGCAGUGGAUCAAACUCUGACUUCACUCUGACCAUCAGUGGAGUCCAGGCUGAAGAUGCAGCAGUUUAUUACUGUCAGAGUCAGCACUAUAUUAACAGUCAGUAUUUGUUCACACAGUGAAAAACAGUCGUACAA